GAUGAACGCUGGCGGCGUGCCUAAUACAUGCAAGUCGAGCGAACAGAUGAGGAGCUUGCUCCUCUGACGUUAGCGGCGGACGGGUGAGUAACACGUGGAUAACCUACCUAUAAGACUGGGAUAACUUCGGGAAACCGGAGCUAAUACCGGAUAAUAUAUUGAACCGCAUGGUUCAAUAGUGAAAGACGGUUUUGCUGUCACUUAUAGAUGGAUCCGCGCCGCAUUAGCUAGUUGGUAAGGUAACGGCUUACCAAGGCGACGAUGCGUAGCCGACCUGAGAGGGUGGACGGCCACACUGGAACUGAGAAACGGUACAGACUCCUACGGGAGGCAGCAGUAGGGAAUCUUACGCAAGGGGCGAAAGCCUGACGGAGCAAAGCCGCGUGAGUGAUGAAGGUCUUCGGAUCGUAAAACUCUGUUAGUAGGGAAGAACAAAUGUGUAAGUAACUAUGAACGUCUUGACGGUACCUAAUCAGAAAGCCACGGCUAACUACGUG
RNAcentral lists this ribosomal RNA (497 nucleotides) under uncultured bacterium. RNAcentral's name for it is "partial 16S ribosomal RNA". It matches the Rfam family "Bacterial small subunit ribosomal RNA", at positions 28 to 507 of the family's 1533-position model. The record is from RNAcentral.